CAAAAGCUCAGUUUACUAGCUGGAUGG
Molecule: non-coding RNA, 27 nt
Filed under: Rattus norvegicus (Norway rat)
Lineage: Eukaryota; Metazoa; Chordata; Mammalia; Rodentia; Muridae
Source: RNAcentral